AAUAAGUGCAGUUAUGCACGGUUCAUGUUCAACGUUUGACCGUCUAUCUUAUUUGAAAAUUUUUUAUGAUUAGUAUUUUUGUUGUUAUUAGAUGAUAAAACAUGAAUAGUAAUUUGUGUAUGACUAAUUUUUUUUAAUAUUUUUAGAAAUUUUUCAAAUAAGACGGAUGGUCAAACGUUGGACAUGGAAAUCCACGACUGUACUUAUU
Molecule: non-coding RNA, 208 nt
Organism: Oryza punctata
Lineage: Eukaryota; Viridiplantae; Streptophyta; Magnoliopsida; Poales; Poaceae
Source: Rfam